GGAAGUAAAAUCGUAACAAGGUCUCCAUUGGUGAACCAGCGGAGGGAUCAUUACCGAGUUAUCAACUCCCAAACCCCGGUGAACAUACCCAACGUUGCUUCGGCGGGACCGCCCCGGCGCCCUCGGCGUCCCGGAACCAGGCGCCCGCCGGAGGACCCAAACUCUUGUUUAAACCAUAGUGGCAUAUUCUGAGUCUCACAAGAAAAAUGAAUCAAAACUUUCAACAACGGAUCUCUUGGCUCUG
This 244-nucleotide unclassified non-coding RNA is filed under the name plant metagenome. Its description in RNAcentral is "partial contains small subunit ribosomal RNA, internal transcribed spacer 1, and 5.8S ribosomal RNA". The record is from RNAcentral.